This 1535-nucleotide long non-coding RNA is filed under the name Anser brachyrhynchus (Pink-footed goose). RNAcentral describes it as "lncRNA (ENSABRG00000001018.1)". Lineage: Eukaryota; Metazoa; Chordata; Aves; Anseriformes; Anatidae. The record is from RNAcentral.
AGAAAUGGGGAGGCUGGGAAGGGAAACCUGUGAGGCAAAAAUUGGAAAGGAAAGAUAGCAGCUGAGCAUUGGGAGUGAGAAGAUCAGUCCUGUAAGAAGGAUAACAAAGUCUUCAUCACACUGGCACUGCUAGCUGUUGGCAAACGCUCUUGGGACAGUGCAGGCACAAAGUGACGCUUUUGAUGAGUCUUCACCUGAAAAAAUGUAGUAUGCCAUAUUCUCCACACUAAGGAAUCUCUCUCUAAAAUUUCUGCUUUUGCUUGAAUCAGUUUGGCUUCUGUAUUGAUAGUUUGAGCACAGAUAGCUCAUUGGCUGCUGUUUCGAGCUGCGUUGACUGGCCUUGCUCCUGGGCAGGUUAGAUGGAAGUAGCACUAAGAGAUGAUGGCGCAUCUACCUUAGGGUACCCAGUAUUGCAGGCAGGCCAUGAGAGGACAGGAGGUGAGAAACAGAGGAUCUUGCUUUGGUUAUAAUUCCAAAUGACUCUGAACAAAGCAUUAUUUCUUACUUUUCUGCAUGAACCUCGGCAGCCCUUGUCCCUGCUCCUUAUGCAGCCAAGAGACACAAGAGACCCCUCAGGGCCAAGCAUGGCAAUGAGCCUGUCCCCUGAGCCAAAGCCUUCCUGGCAGUCUCUGCCCUGCACUGUGGCCCUCCUCACAGCUCCUCUGGUCCCACACGGCUUGGAUUUGCUGUGGGCUGGGCAGCUGAGGGGUGGCUGGCUGUGGGCAGCCAGCGCAGCUGCCCAGGCCACUUCCCUGUGGAAAUACCAGGGCCGGCAGGACAAUGCCUUCAGCUGGGACAUGAAGAGAGAAGCAGCACUGCUCUGGUGGCCCAGGCCUGCUGAGGUGACAUGGCUGCACAGGGUGAGGGCUGUCCCAGCUGCCUCUCACCCUGCUCUGAGCCUUGCAGCCUGGCGCGGGAUGGGGAGAACAGCUUUCACAACCUGGACGUGUUGUCACUCGCAUCCAGACGUUUCCUGUUAUCUAACCUCAGCCUUAUCUUCCCCAUUCGCAGCUUCCUCUCGAAGGAGGAGCGGCCCCUUCAAAAACGAGCUGUGUGCCUGGGCUGUGCCCCCACCACUGGGGCCAGCCCCAUGCUGGUGCCCCUGCCCUGGUGGGGCCCGGCUAGCUCAGCACGGCUGUCAGAUGAGUGGUCACCUGCGCACCUCCUUCCCUCCCCUUCACAGCUGAAGGCAGAGUCCUCUGAGCACUGCGGAGGAGCCAGGGCAGGGGCUGGAGAUCAAAGGUGAGUACAGGGGGAUGCGGGAGGGCACGCGGCCAGCAAUGCCAGGUAAUGGGUUUAUCAGGCCCUUCCUGGUCCUUUUGCGCAAGCUGUGAGGUGCUGGUUGCAGCGUUUCUGGUUCCUGCUCUUGCAAGCUGUUCCUGCAGCCAUAAGCGAAACCCACAACCUCCUCACCCGAGUGUUUGAAUGGUGCCUUGUGCUUGUGACUCUCUGUGUGCUGAGCUGUGGGGCAGACAGGAGCGGGGACCAGUGCAUCCUGUUUUUCUGUCCCUUACAGCAAUCCCGGGCCUGAGGUC